This 1157-nucleotide small RNA is filed under the name Pan troglodytes (chimpanzee). Its description in RNAcentral is "processed transcript". The record is from RNAcentral. Lineage: Eukaryota; Metazoa; Chordata; Mammalia; Primates; Hominidae.
ACGCCCGGCUCCUCCGCACCCCCUCCCCCGGGGGUCCCGCGGCGUCUUAAGAUCUCCUUCAGCGAGACAGCCCUGGAGACCACGUACCAAUACCCCUCCGAGAGUUCGGUACUGGAGGAGCUGGGCCCGGAGCCUGAGGUCCCCAGUGCCCCCAACCCCCCAGCAGCCCAACCCGACGACGAAGAGGAUGAGGAAGAGCUGCUGCUGCUGCAGCCAGAGCUCCAGGGCGGGCUGCGCACCAAGGCCCUGAUUGUGGAUGAGUCCUGCCGGCGGUGACCAUCUUCCAACAUAGGGAUAUACCUCCCUCCUUCUUAUAACUGAAGAUCCUGGAGCCCGGAAGAUUCAGGGCAGACAGACCCUGAUAAUGAGCCUGGCAGGGAAGGGCAACCAACAUCUUGUAACUUGCUUUCCCCACCCUGUUUCUGGGGGCAGAGCCAAUUGCCCAAUUUCUACCCUAAUCCAAAGUCCCUGGUGUGGGUGGGGUUAAACGUGCUGGUGCAUCCUAGGUCAUCCAAGAGUGAGCGCCAAGUCCUGAGAAGGGACACAGAACUCCCUGGAGGGUGGAGAUGGAGCACCUGCCCCCCAUGGCAGGGUACACUCUCCCCACAGCCUUCCUCCCCACCAUCCCGUGGGGACUCUCGGGAUUUAAGCACUCGUCUCUCUGGGAGGCCCAGACCCCACUCCAUUUAUAGGCACAUCUCCUUCAUUUCCUAGGUCACUGCCCCUUUGUUUACAGCUCCUGCCUCCUCCCUUGACCACAGCCUGGUUUACAAAUUCCAUCAGCUCCCAGCCCCACCUGCCAAAGUCCCAGGUUUACAAGCCACGCUUACUUGCUGUGUCUGCGUGGAAUUCUCUCCUCUGUCCCCUCCAGUCUCCUCAUUGGAGUGACCUGAAGGUGUGGCUUCCUCCACUUUUUCUCAGUAUUACUUUGCCUUAGUUUUCCCCAAGAGGGAAAGCUGGAAAUCUUAACUCUAUACCCCCUUGAUAGUUAUUUAAUUCUGUUUCUCCUAGUGGUUCACAAUUGAACUGAAUUGAGAUGGUGUCGGGUGGCUAAGGAGACACCUCACCUGUCCUUCCCCAUUGUGCCGCCUUUAUCAAUUGCCUGUUUUGUUUUGUUUGUUUUUUAACUUUCCAUAAUAAAAUGGAGUUCUCUUCAA